UACGUAGGGGGCAAGCGUUGUCCGGAUUCAUUGGGCGUAAAGAGCGUGUAGGCGGCCAGGUAGGUCGGUUGUGAAAACUGGAGGCUCAACCUUCAGACGUCGACCGAAACCAUCUGGCUAGAGUCCGGGAGAGGAGAGUGGAAUUCCUGGUGUAGCGGUGAAAUGCGUAGAUAUCAGGAGGAACACCUGUGGCGAAAGCGGCUCACUGGACCAUAACUGACGCUGAGGCACGAAAGCUAGGGGAGCAAACAGG
This 253-nucleotide ribosomal RNA is filed under the name uncultured bacterium. Its description in RNAcentral is "partial 16S ribosomal RNA". It matches the Rfam family "Bacterial small subunit ribosomal RNA", at positions 524 to 776 of the family's 1533-position model. The record is from RNAcentral.